CCUACGGGAGACAGCAGUGGGGAAUAUUGGGCAAUGGGCGCAAGCCUGACCCAGCAACGCCGCGUGAAGGAAGAAGGCUUUCGGGUUGUAAACUUCUUUUAAGGGGGAAGAGCAGAAGACGGUACCCCUUGAAUAAGCCACGGCUAACUACGUGCCAGCAGCUGCGUUAAUACGUAGGUGGCAAGCGUUGUCCGGAUUUACUGGGUGUAAAGGGCGUGCAGCCGGAGAGACAAGUCAGAUGUGAAAUCCACGGGCUCAACCCGUGAACUGCAUUUGAAACUGUUUCCCUUGAGUGUCGGAGAGGUAAUCGGAAUUCCUUGUGUAGCGGUAAAAUGCGUAGAUAUAAGGAAGAACACCAGUGGCGAAGGCGGAUUACUGGACGAUAACUGACGGUGAGGCGCGAAAGCGUGGGGAGCAAACAGGAUUAGAUACCCUAGUAGUC
This 442-nucleotide ribosomal RNA is filed under the name uncultured bacterium. Its description in RNAcentral is "partial 16S ribosomal RNA". It matches the Rfam family "Bacterial small subunit ribosomal RNA", at positions 338 to 795 of the family's 1533-position model. The record is from RNAcentral.